Molecule: ribosomal RNA, 2990 nt
Filed under: Salmonella enterica
Lineage: Bacteria; Pseudomonadati; Pseudomonadota; Gammaproteobacteria; Enterobacterales; Enterobacteriaceae
Also listed under: 4 other names
Description: 23S ribosomal RNA
Rfam family: Bacterial large subunit ribosomal RNA
Source: RNAcentral
GGUUAAGCGACUAAGCGUACACGGUGGAUGCCCUGGCAGUCAGAGGCGAUGAAGGGCGUGCUAAUCUGCGAUAAGCGCCGGUAAGGUGAUAUGAACCGUUAUAACCGGCGAUACCCGAAUGGGGAAACCCAGUGUGAUUCGUCACACUAUCAUUAACUGAAUCCAUAGGUUAAUGAGGCGAACCGGGGGAACUGAAACAUCUAAGUACCCCGAGGAAAAGAAAUCAACCGAGAUUCCCCCAGUAGCGGCGAGCGAACGGGGAGGAGCCCAGAGCCUGAAUCAGCAUGUGUGUUAGUGGAAGCGUCUGGAAAGGCGCGCGAUACAGGGUGACAGCCCCGUACACAAAAGCGCAUGUGCUGUGAGCUCGAUGAGUAGGGCGGGACACGUGGUAUCCUGUCUGAAUAUGGGGGGACCAUCCUCCAAGGCUAAAUACUCCUGACUGACCGAUAGUGAACCAGUACCGUGAGGGAAAGGCGAAAAGAACCCCGGCGAGGGGAGUGAAAAAGAACCUGAAACCGUGUACGUACAAGCAGUGGGAGCACCCUUCGGGGUGUGACUGCGUACCUUUUGUAUAAUGGGUCAGCGACUUAUAUUCUGUAGCAAGGUUAACCGUAUAGGGGAGCCGGAGGGAAACCGAGUCUUAACCGGGCGUUAAGUUGCAGGGUAUAGACCCGAAACCCGGUGAUCUAGCCAUGGGCAGGUUGAAGGUUGGGUAACACUAACUGGAGGACCGAACCGACUAAUGUUGAAAAAUUAGCGGAUGACCUGUGGCUGGGGGUGAAAGGCCAAUCAAACCGGGAGAUAGCUGGUUCUCCCCGAAAGCUAUUUAGGUAGCGCCUCGUGAAUUCAUCUCCGGGGGUAGAGCACUGUUUCGGCUAGGGGGCCAUCCCGGCUUACCAACCCGAUGCAAACUGCGAAUACCGGAGAAUGUUAUCACGGGAGACACACGGCGGGUGCUAACGUCCGUCGUGAAGAGGGAAACAACCCAGACCGCCAGCUAAGGUCCCAAAGUCAUGGUUAAGUGGGAAACGAUGUGGGAAGGCCCAGACAGCCAGGAUGUUGGCUUAGAAGCAGCCAUCAUUUAAAGAAAGCGUAAUAGCUCACUGGUCGAGUCGGCCUGCGCGGAAGAUGUAACGGGGCUAAACCAUGCACCGAAGCUGCGGCAGCGAACGUAUCACCCAAGACAACUUUACGGAGUUGACGAUUGACGGAGCGAAGCGACGUCAAAGCGUUCAUUAAAGUCGAGUUGGCUUAGGGAUACGUUCGUUGGGUAGGGGAGCGUUCUGUAAGCCUGUGAAGGUGUGUCGUGAGGCAUGCUGGAGGUAUCAGAAGUGCGAAUGCUGACAUAAGUAACGAUAAAGCGGGUGAAAAGCCCGCUCGCCGGAAGACCAAGGGUUCCUGUCCAACGUUAAUCGGGGCAGGGUGAGUCGACCCCUAAGGCGAGGCCGAAAGGCGUAGUCGAUGGGAAACGGGUUAAUAUUCCCGUACUUGGUGUUACUGCGAAGGGGGGACGGAGAAGGCUAUGUUGGCCGGGCGACGGUUGUCCCGGUUUAAGCGUGUAGGUGUGUGUUCCAGGUAAAUCCGGUUCACUUUAACACUGAGGCGUGACGACGAGGCACUACGGUGCUGAAGCAACAAAUGCCCUGCUUCCAGGAAAAGCCUCUAAGCAUCAGGUAACAUCAAAUCGUACCCCAAACCGACACAGGUGGUCAGGUAGAGAAUACCAAGGCGCUUGAGAGAACUCGGGUGAAGGAACUAGGCAAAAUGGUGCCGUAACUUCGGGAGAAGGCACGCUGACACGUAGGUGAAGUGAUUUACUCAUGGAGCUGAAGUCAGUCGAAGAUACCAGCUGGCUGCAACUGUUUAUUAAAAACACAGCACUGUGCAAACACGAAAGUGGACGUAUACGGUGUGACGCCUGCCCGGUGCCGGAAGGUUAAUUGAUGGGGUCAGCGCAAGCGAAGCUCCUGAUCGAAGCCCCGGUAAACGGCGGCCGUAACUAUAACGGUCCUAAGGUAGCGAAAUUCCUUGUCGGGUAAGUUCCGACCUGCACGAAUGGCGUAAUGAUGGCCAGGCUGUCUCCACCCGAGACUCAGUGAAAUUGAACUCGCUGUGAAGAUGCAGUGUACCCGCGGCAAGACGGAAAGACCCCGUGAACCUUUACUAUAGCUUGACACUGAACAUUGAGCCUUGAUGUGUAGGAUAGGUGGGAGGCUUUGAAGUGUGGACGCCAGUCUGCAUGGAGCCGACCUUGAAAUACCACCCUUUAAUGUUUGAUGUUCUAACGUGGACCCGUUACCCGGGUUGCGGACAGUGUCUGGUGGGUAGUUUGACUGGGGCGGUCUCCUCCUAAAGAGUAACGGAGGAGCACGAAGGUUGGCUAAUCCUGGUCGGACAUCAGGAGGUUAGUGCAAUGGCAUAAGCCAGCUUGACUGCGAGCGUGACGGCGCGAGCAGGUGCGAAAGCAGGUCAUAGUGAUCCGGUGGUUCUGAAUGGAAGGGCCAUCGCUCAACGGAUAAAAGGUACUCCGGGGAUAACAGGCUGAUACCGCCCAAGAGUUCAUAUCGACGGCGGUGUUUGGCACCUCGAUGUCGGCUCAUCACAUCCUGGGGCUGAAGUAGGUCCCAAGGGUAUGGCUGUUCGCCAUUUAAAGUGGUACGCGAGCUGGGUUUAGAACGUCGUGAGACAGUUCGGUCCCUAUCUGCCGUGGGCGCUGGAGAACUGAGGGGGGCUGCUCCUAGUACGAGAGGACCGGAGUGGACGCAUCACUGGUGUUCGGGUUGUCAUGCCAAUGGCACUGCCCGGUAGCUAAAUGCGGAAGAGAUAAGUGCUGAAAGCAUCUAAGCACGAAACUUGCCCCGAGAUGAGUUCUCCCUGAGACUUAGAGUCUCCUGAAGGAACGUUGAAGACGACGACGUUGAUAGGCCGGGUGUGUAAGCGCAGCGAUGCGUUGAGCUAACCGGUACUAAUGAACCGUGAGGCUUAACCUU